GAGUAACCCGCCCGAGGUUCUCGCGAUAGGGUCUUUUUGAGUUUUAGUCCUGCUCACUUUCCCUUGGAACACUGGCUUGGGUUCAGAAUGUCCGAAUAUUGUCGCAAUCAUAGCACCAAAGAAUGACAACCCCUCAGGGUCGCCCUUUAGCGUGAGUGCCUCUGAUAACUCUGUAAGCAAGUUACCUUUUAACAAUCUGAUACCAUC
Molecule: unclassified non-coding RNA, 207 nt
Filed under: Hevea brasiliensis (rubber tree)
Lineage: Eukaryota; Viridiplantae; Streptophyta; Magnoliopsida; Malpighiales; Euphorbiaceae
Source: RNAcentral